RNAcentral lists this ribosomal RNA (610 nucleotides) under bacterium. Its description in RNAcentral is "bacterial SSU rRNA". It matches the Rfam family "Bacterial small subunit ribosomal RNA", at positions 847 to 1457 of the family's 1533-position model. The record is from RNAcentral.
CGGAGCUAACGCGUUAAGUCGACCGCCUGGGGAGUACGGCCGCAAGGUUAAAACUCAAAUGAAUUGACGGGGGCCCGCACAAGCGGUGGAGCAUGUGGUUUAAUUCGAUGCAACGCGAAGAACCUUACCUACUCUUGACAUCCAGAGAACUUAGCAGAGAUGCUUUGGUGCCUUCGGGAACUCUGAGACAGGUGCUGCAUGGCUGUCGUCAGCUCGUGUUGUGAAAUGUUGGGUUAAGUCCCGCAACGAGCGCAACCCUUAUCCUUUGUUGCCAGCGGUCAGGCCGGGAACUCAAAGGAGACUGCCAGUGAUAAACUGGAGGAAGGUGGGGAUGACGUCAAGUCAUCAUGGCCCUUACGAGUAGGGCUACACACGUGCUACAAUGGCGCAUACAAAGAGAAGCGACCUCGCGAGAGCAAGCGGACCUCAUAAAGUGCGUCGUAGUCCGGAUUGGAGUCUGCAACUCGACUCCAUGAAGUCGGAAUCGCUAGUAAUCGUGGAUCAGAAUGCCACGGUGAAUACGUUCCCGGGCCUUGUACACACCGCCCGUCACACCAUGGGAGUGGGUUGCAAAAGAAGUAGGUAGCUUAACCUUCGGGAGGGCGCUUAC